RNAcentral lists this ribosomal RNA (253 nucleotides) under uncultured bacterium. RNAcentral describes it as "partial 16S ribosomal RNA". It matches the Rfam family "Bacterial small subunit ribosomal RNA", at positions 524 to 776 of the family's 1533-position model. The record is from RNAcentral.
UACGUAGGUGGCAAGCGUUAUCCAGAUUUACUGGGUGUAAAGGGGGCGCAGACGGCGCGGCAAGUCCGGAGUGAAAUCCCAGGGCCCAACCCUGGGGCUGCUCUGGAAACUGCCGGGCUGGAGUGCUGGAGGGGCAGGCGGAAUUCCUAGUGUAGCGGUGAAAUGCGUAGAUAUUAGGAGGAACACCGGUGGCGAAGGCGGCCUGCUGGACAGCGACUGACGUUGAGGCCCGAAAGCGUGGGGAGCAAACAGG